GGAUGUGAGGGCGAUCUGGCUGCGACAUCUGUCACCCCAUUGAUCGCCAGGGUUGAUUCGGCUGAUCUGGCUGGCUAGGCGGGUGUCCCCUUCCUCCCUCACCGCUCCAUGUGCGUCCCUCCCGAAGCUGCGCGCUCGGUCGAAGAGGACGACCAUCCCCGAUAGAGGAGGACCGUUCUUCGGUCAAGGGUAUACGAGUAGCUGCGCUCCCCUGCUAGAACCUCCAAACAAGCUCUCAACCCCAAUGCUUCAUAAUUAGUCAGCUAUUUAAUAAUCCGUCUAUUGGCCUUGAGAAUCACAGUAUCUAAAAAUAUUCCCAAAUAUCUUU
RNAcentral lists this small nuclear RNA (328 nucleotides) under Canis lupus dingo (dingo). Its description in RNAcentral is "7SK RNA (ENSCAFG00020002946.1)". The stretch from base 1 to 287 matches the Rfam family "7SK RNA". From Rfam's summary of the family: 7SK was discovered as an abundant small nuclear RNA in the mid-70s but a possible function has only recently been suggested. Lineage: Eukaryota; Metazoa; Chordata; Mammalia; Carnivora; Canidae. The record is from Rfam by way of RNAcentral.